AGAGUUUGAUCCUGGCUCAGAUUGAACGCUGGCGGAAUGCUUUACACAUGCAAGUCGAACGGCAGCACGGGAGCUUGCUCCUGGUGGCGAGUGGCGAACGGGUGAGUAAUGUAUCGGAACGUACCCAGUCGUGGGGGAUAACUCUCCGAAAGGAGAGCUAAUACCGCAUACGUCCUGAGGGGGAAAGCGGGGGACCUGCAAGGGCCUCGCGCGAUUGGAGCGGCCGAUAUCGGAUUAGCUAGUUGGUGGGGUAAAGGCUCACCAAGGCGACGAUCCGUAGCGGGUCUGAGAGGACGACCCGCCACACUGGAACUGAGACACGGUCCAGACUCCUACGGGAGGCAGCAGUGGGGAAUUUUGGACAAUGGGGGCAACCCUGAUCCAGCCAUUCCGCGUGAGUGAAGAAGGCCUUCGGGUUGUAAAGCUCUUUCAGCAGGAGCGAAACGGUCGUUUUUAAUACAGACGGCUAAUGACGGUACCUGCAGAAGAAGCACCGGCUAACUACGUGCCAGCAGCCGCGGUAAUACGUAGGGUGCGAGCGUUAAUCGGAAUUACUGGGCGUAAAGCGUGCGCAGGCGGCGACAUAAGACAGAUGUGAAAUCCCCGGGCUCAACCUGGGAACUGCGUUUGUGACUGUGUUGCUAGAGUGUAGCAGAGGGGGGUGGAAUUCCACGUGUAGCAGUGAAAUGCGUAGAGAUGUGGAGGAACACCGAUGGCGAAGGCAGCCCCCUGGGUUAACACUGACGCUCAUGCACGAAAGCGUGGGGAGCAAACAGGAUUAGAUACCCUGGUAG
Molecule: ribosomal RNA, 794 nt
Filed under: uncultured bacterium
Lineage: Bacteria
Description: bacterial SSU rRNA
Rfam family: Bacterial small subunit ribosomal RNA
Source: RNAcentral